This 45-nucleotide ribosomal RNA is filed under the name Puccinia boroniae. RNAcentral describes it as "partial 28S ribosomal RNA". Lineage: Eukaryota; Fungi; Basidiomycota; Pucciniomycetes; Pucciniales; Pucciniaceae. The record is from RNAcentral.
CAGGUGGGACUACCCGCUGAACUUAAGCAUAUCAAUAAGCGGAGG